AACGAACGCUGGCGGCAUGCCUAACACAUGCAAGUCGAACGAGACCUUCGGGUCUAGUGGCGCACGGGUGCGUAACGCGUGGGAACCUGCCCUUAGGUUCGGAAUAACUCCCCGAAAGGGGUGCUAAUACCGGAUAAUGUCUUCGGACCAAAGAUUUAUCGCCUUUGGAUGGGCCCGCGUUGGAUUAGCUAGUUGGUAGGGUAAAAGCCUACCAAGGCGACGAUCCAUAGCUGGUCUGAGAGGAUGAUCAGCCACACUGGGACUGAGACACGGCCCAGACUCCUACGGGAGGCAGCAGUGGAGAAUAUUGGACAAUGGGCGAAAGCCUGAUCCAGCAAUGCCGCGUGAGUGAUGAAGGCCUUAGGGUUGUAAAGCUCUUCUACCCGGGAUGAUAAUGACAGUACCGGGAGAAUAAGCUCCGGCUAACUCCGUG
This 433-nucleotide ribosomal RNA is filed under the name uncultured bacterium. Its description in RNAcentral is "partial 16S ribosomal RNA". It matches the Rfam family "Bacterial small subunit ribosomal RNA", at positions 29 to 507 of the family's 1533-position model. The record is from RNAcentral.